UGGGGAAUCUUGGACAAUGGGGGAAACCCUGAUCCAGCCAUGCCGCGUGAUCGAUGAAGGCCUUAGGGUUGUAAAGAUCUUUCAGCUGGGAAGAUAAUGACGGUACCAGCAGAAGAAGCCCCGGCUAACUCCGUGCCAGCAGCCGCGGUAAUACGGAGGGGGCUAGCGUUGUUCGGAAUUACUGGGCGUAAAGCGCACGUAGGCGGAUCAGUAAGUUAGAGGUGAAAGCCCAGGGCUCAACCCUGGAACUGCCUUUAAUACUGCUAGUCUAGAGGUCGAGAGAGGUGAGUGGAAUUCCGAGUGUAGAGGUGAAAUUCGUAGAUAUUCGGAGGAACACCAGUGGCGAAGGCGGCUCACUGGCUCGAUACUGACGCUGAGGUGCGAAAGCGUGGGGAGCAAACA
This 402-nucleotide ribosomal RNA is filed under the name uncultured prokaryote. RNAcentral describes it as "bacterial SSU rRNA". It matches the Rfam family "Bacterial small subunit ribosomal RNA", at positions 355 to 774 of the family's 1533-position model. The record is from RNAcentral.